Raphanus sativus (radish) is the source of this 2223-nucleotide long non-coding RNA. RefSeq lists it as uncharacterized. The record is from RefSeq and is a predicted model, not a curated record. Lineage: Eukaryota; Viridiplantae; Streptophyta; Magnoliopsida; Brassicales; Brassicaceae. The transcript is spliced from 7 exons.
GGUUUCGUCAUAGAAUUGAGCUCAAUCUUGAAAGGCCCAUAUGUUCUUCGCGAAUCGGACACCGAUUCCUGAGUUUGUUCUCAUCUUCUACCUCCGACACCAGAAUUCUUCUCCAUUUUCAGACAAAAUCAAUGGAGUUUUGAGAUCCAUAGCCUUUACCAUCUUCUCAACUCCAAAGACCGACUGAAGCAUGAUCUGAAAUUGAAUGCGAGUUUAUCCUUUCAAGGCGGUGUAUCUACACCUAUAUAAAUGUUAGCAUCCUUCCCUUAUCAUCAUCCUCUUAUGCGAGUUUUCUUCAACGACGUCUUUUCCGGAGUAAGCGAGGAUAAGAUGAUAAAUCAUCUCUUUCGUCUGACCCGUCAAACAGGCGAACAGAAACUGAAGAAAGAUUCCGUCGUCUCAAGUGUAAUGCGGCUACUACGUUACAAAUAUUUGGUUGUUGUAACUGACGCUAUUCUGACGAACCCUAUUCCAAAUCUGCCCUCCAGGAUGUAAAGCUGUGAUGAAUCUGAGCCGCCAGAUGUAAGACUCGAGAGGGUGGGAGUGAGGGGGAUGUUGCUUCACGGUGGUAGUUAUGAAAGUUGUUGCAGGCAGCCAAAGAUUGAAGAAGGAGAAGGCAGUGAGACGGUAACUGACGAAUCAAAACCAUUGAUUCGAUCGAGUGGAGGCAGAGCGUCUAAGGUGAUGCAUCAUCGAGAUAAAUCUUAUGAAUCUUAGAGAGUUUCAGAGGAACAAAUUUAAGAUGAUAAAGGCAAGGAUGAUGAUAAGCAGUCAAGGCAAGCCAAAUCUAGCUAAAUUCUACGCUGGAGAAGCAAUAAGCGACAUACUUUCAGUUUCCUUGAGCGACUACAAACGUGGUACGCAUGGAGUUCUGAUUCUAAUUCCAGUUCAUGUGAACUUAGCGGAGGAGAAGCUGAUGCUCUGGGACAGUGACACAUGGCAAGAGAGUUGAGGAGAGGUUUGUUCAACUCGCUCCUUUGAGUUGGCUCGGUGAUCGAGACAGUCGCACCAGAGACAUUUGAGGUUAUGUCCGUCAUCCACAUCCUCUUCCCAACUCAUAUCUUCGUCGCCGAUAGCACAAAUCCAUAACCGCUCUUUGACAUGGAAAACUAUUGUUCAGUGGCCACAAACCAAAGCCCUGGCAAGGGGAAUAGUCCUCAUUACAAACAAAGGUCAAUUGUAUUUUCGUUUUUUCAUACACGUUCAAACUUUCUCUUUAUACAUACAACUCUAUGUCUAAAUGUAGAAGAUUCUGAGAUAGCAAAGGAACAUGGGAUUUGAGGGGUCAAGAGCUGCAAAUAUGCCAGUGAUAGCCACAAAGUACAGCCAUGUGAUGAAAAUGGCCAAGCUACAGGGCGUCUGUAGAUUUAUUUGAAGAAAAAGAGGAAGAGACGGAUGAGAUGAGAGUGGACAGGAGAAGUGUCUGAGACUCUUACGAUCCUAAAAGCACAUAAAGUAUGUGUCUUGCUUUCUUUUCUCUUUACUCUAUGGUUUUUUGCUAUUCUUGCGAAUAGGGCUUUAGGUCUACUGUUAGUGUUAAUUGAAGGUUUUCUUUUCGAUUCCCAGUAUUGAUGGACUGAUGGAAACACUCAGUGAGUAUGACAGCAAUAAUAUAGUCAUCAGCAGUUCAGUUUUAUGUACUUUGAUUGACUUUCCAUUCAAUGAUCCUGUAAACUUAGGUUUUAGCUAAAGUCUUAUUUUUCUUACGUGAUGUUUAAUCAAAAAGAUUGAGAAUGAGGCUGUUCAAAAAUUAUAAAAUCGGUUUACAUCACAAUCAGAGCUUUACUAGAGAACUCACGCGUUAAGCGUGUUCGCUUCAGGUAUAAAAAACUUUACUCUAUAUCUUGCUAAAAAACCUUUAUAAAUAAACACUUGACAAACCAUGACUUUCUCUUAAGGUAUUGUUUUGCAGGAAUGAGCUUAGAUAUUGGACUAAUAGUUUUGGUCUUCAAUGUUCCUUUUUUAAACUAGUGAAAAGUUCAUUACUGAACCACCAUUAAAUAAACCAGCUGGGAAACAUAUACUUUUGCGGAAAAGAUAUAGUGUCUUCUUGAUUGCAUCUUCAUUCUUCUCAGCUCUCACAUAUUGAGCUCUCACAUAUUGAUCUUCUUAGCCACAAGGGUUAACAAUCAUCAUGGUGGUUUUCUAAUUAGCAGAGUCUACUUUUUUUUCCUUUCGUGUGUAAAAACAAUCUCUUCCUUCUGCAUUCAUUUUAGUACUCGA